This 462-nucleotide ribosomal RNA is filed under the name uncultured bacterium. Its description in RNAcentral is "bacterial SSU rRNA". It matches the Rfam family "Bacterial small subunit ribosomal RNA", at positions 28 to 507 of the family's 1533-position model. The record is from RNAcentral.
GACGAACGCUGGCGGCGUGCUUAACACAUGCAAGUCGAGCGAUGAAGUUCCUCGGGAAAUGGAUUAGCGGCGGACGGGUGAGUAACACGUGGGUAACCUGCCUCAUAGAGGGGAAUAGCCUUUCGAAAGGAAGAUUAAUACCCAAUGAUAUCUCUAGAAGACAUCUGAAAGAGAUUAAAGAUUUAUCGCUUCAAGAUGGCCUCGCGUCUGAUUAGCUAGUUGGCGGGGUAACGGCCCACCAAGGCGACGAUCAGUAGCCGGACUGAGAGGUUGAACGGCCACAUUGGGACUGAGAUACGGCCCAGACUCCUACGGGAGGCAGCAGUGGGGAAUAUUGGGCAAUGGGCGCAAGCCUGACCCAGCAACGCCGCGUGAAGGAAGAAGGCUUUCGGGUUGUAAACUUCUUUUAAGAGGGAAGAGCAGAAGACGGUACCUCUAGAAUAAGCCACGGCUAACUACGUG